This 841-nucleotide ribosomal RNA is filed under the name Bacillus sp. (in: firmicutes). RNAcentral describes it as "bacterial SSU rRNA". It matches the Rfam family "Bacterial small subunit ribosomal RNA", at positions 35 to 854 of the family's 1533-position model. The record is from RNAcentral. Lineage: Bacteria; Bacillati; Bacillota; Bacilli; Caryophanales; Bacillaceae.
ACUAGUAUGGCGGCAGCUAUACAUGCAGUCGAGCGAACUGAUUAGAAGCUUGCUUCUAUGACGUUAGCGGCGGACGGGUGAGUAACACGUGGGCAACCUGCCUGUAAGACUGGGAUAACUUCGGGAAACCGAAGCUAAUACCGGAUAGGAUCUUCUCCUUCAUGGGAGAUGAUUGAAAGAUGGUUUCGGCUAUCACUUACAGAUGGGCCCGCGGUGCAUUAGCUAGUUGGUGAGGUAACGGCUCACCAAGGCAACGAUGCAUAGCCGACCUGAGAGGGUGAUCGGCCACACUGGGACUGAGACACGGCCCAGACUCCUACGGGAGGCAGCAGUAGGGAAUCUUCCGCAAUGGACGAAAGUCUGACGGAGCAACGCCGCGUGAGUGAUGAAGGCUUUCGGGUCGUAAAACUCUGUUGUUAGGGAAGAACAAGUACAAGAGUAACUGCUUGUACCUUGACGGUACCUAACCAGAAAGCCACGGCUAACUACGUGCCAGCAGCCGCGGUAAUACGUAGGUGGCAAGCGUUAUCCGGAAUUAUUGGGCGUAAAGCGCGCGCAGGCGGUUUCUUAAGUCUGAUGUGAAAGCCCACGGCUCAACCGUGGAGGGUCAUUGGAAACUGGGGAACUUGAGUGCAGAAGAGAAAAGCGGAAUUCCACGUGUAGCGGUGAAAUGCGUAGAGAUGUGGAGGAACACCAGUGGCGAAGGCGGCUUUUUGGUCUGUAACUGACGCUGAGGCGCGAAAGCGUGGGGAGCAAACAGGAUUAGAUACCCCUGGUAGUCCACGCCGUAAACGAUGAGUGCUAAGUGUUAGAGGGUUUCCGCCCUUUAUUGCUGCAGCUA